This 206-nucleotide ribosomal RNA is filed under the name uncultured bacterium. RNAcentral describes it as "partial 16S ribosomal RNA". It matches the Rfam family "Bacterial small subunit ribosomal RNA", at positions 568 to 774 of the family's 1533-position model. The record is from RNAcentral.
CGCGUAGGUGGUUUGUUAAGUCAGAUGUGAAAGUCCACGGCUCAACUGUGGAAGUGCAUUUGAAACUGACAGACUUGAGUACUGGAGGGGUAGUGGAAUUCCCGGUGUAGAGGUGAAAUUCGUAGAUAUCGGGAGGAAUACCGGUGGCGAAGGCGACUACCUGGCCAGAUACUGACACUGAGGUGCGAAAGCGUGGGGAGCAAACA